AAAAUUUAAAUUAUCAAAUUUGCGAGUAUUAAAUUUUGACGGACAUUACAAAUUUAAAAUUUAAUUUUGAGUAUUACGUGAUUGACGAGUAUUACGUUUGAUAAAGAAAAUAUUUGAGAAAAAGCAUGUAUACGAGAUAAAUUUAAUUCUACAUAUUACGUGAUUGGCAGAUAUUACGUUAAAUAGAAGGUAAAUUUAAUUUUAUGUAUUAUAUGAUUGGCGGGUAUUACAUUUUAUUUAUCAAAUUUGCGAGUAUUAAAUUUUGGCGGACAUUACAAAUUUAAAAUUUAAUUUUGAGUAUUACGUGAUUUGUGAGUAUUACGUUUGAGAAAGGGCAUUACGUAGAAAGAAAAUAUUUGAGAAAACGCGUGGAUGCGGAUAUUACGUUAAAUAAGAGAUAAAUUUAAUUUUACGUAUUAUAUGAUUGGCAGGUAUUACAUUAUAUUUGAGAUAAAUUUAAUUUUACGUAUUAUAUGAUUGGUGGGUAGGAAGGAAAUAUUUGAGAAACGCGUAGAUAGGAGAUAACGGAUAUGAAGGGUAUUAUUGUCACAAAAAGUGACAGAUACUUUUAUUUUCAAUCGUU
RNAcentral lists this long non-coding RNA (583 nucleotides) under Ananas comosus (pineapple). Its description in RNAcentral is "long non-coding RNA (ACOM_LNC031419)". The record is from RNAcentral. Lineage: Eukaryota; Viridiplantae; Streptophyta; Magnoliopsida; Poales; Bromeliaceae.